AGCAAAACCAUGCUUGCUUCAGCACUAAAUUGGAACGAUACAGAGAUUAGCAUGGCCCUUGCACAAGGAAGACACGCAAAUUCGUGAAGCAUUCCAUAUUUUU
Molecule: small nuclear RNA, 103 nt
Organism: Echinops telfairi (small Madagascar hedgehog)
Lineage: Eukaryota; Metazoa; Chordata; Mammalia; Afrosoricida; Tenrecidae
Source: Ensembl